RNAcentral lists this ribosomal RNA (1458 nucleotides) under Streptococcus salivarius. RNAcentral's name for it is "bacterial SSU rRNA". It matches the Rfam family "Bacterial small subunit ribosomal RNA". The record is from RNAcentral. Lineage: Bacteria; Bacillati; Bacillota; Bacilli; Lactobacillales; Streptococcaceae.
GGGCCGGGGGGGGGGUGCUAAUACAUGCAAGUAGAACGCUGAAGAGAGGAGCUUGCUCUUCUUGGAUGAGUUGCGAACGGGUGAGUAACGCGUAGGUAACCUGCCUUGUAGCGGGGGAUAACUAUUGGAAACGAUAGCUAAUACCGCAUAACAAUGGAUGACACAUGUCAUUUAUUUGAAAGGGGCAAUUGCUCCACUACAAGAUGGACCUGCGUUGUAUUAGCUAGUAGGUGAGGUAACGGCUCACCUAGGCGACGAUACAUAGCCGACCUGAGAGGGUGAUCGGCCACACUGGGACUGAGACACGGCCCAGACUCCUACGGGAGGCAGCAGUAGGGAAUCUUCGGCAAUGGGGGCAACCCUGACCGAGCAACGCCGCGUGAGUGAAGAAGGUUUUCGGAUCGUAAAGCUCUGUUGUAAGUCAAGAACGAGUGUGAGAGUGGAAAGUUCACACUGUGACGGUAGCUUACCAGAAAGGGACGGCUAACUACGUGCCAGCAGCCGCGGUAAUACGUAGGUCCCGAGCGUUGUCCGGAUUUAUUGGGCGUAAAGCGAGCGCAGGCGGUUUGAUAAGUCUGAAGUUAAAGGCUGUGGCUCAACCAUAGUUCGCUUUGGAAACUGUCAAACUUGAGUGCAGAAGGGGAGAGUGGAAUUCCAUGUGUAGCGGUGAAAUGCGUAGAUAUAUGGAGGAACACCGGUGGCGAAAGCGGCUCUCUGGUCUGUAACUGACGCUGAGGCUCGAAAGCGUGGGGAGCGAACAGGAUUAGAUACCCUGGUAGUCCACGCCGUAAACGAUGAGUGCUAGGUGUUGGAUCCUUUCCGGGAUUCAGUGCCGCAGCUAACGCAUUAAGCACUCCGCCUGGGGAGUACGACCGCAAGGUUGAAACUCAAAGGAAUUGACGGGGGCCCGCACAAGCGGUGGAGCAUGUGGUUUAAUUCGAAGCAACGCGAAGAACCUUACCAGGUCUUGACAUCCCGAUGCUAUUUCUAGAGAUAGAAAGUUACUUCGGUACAUCGGUGACAGGUGGUGCAUGGUUGUCGUCAGCUCGUGUCGUGAGAUGUUGGGUUAAGUCCCGCAACGAGCGCAACCCCUAUUGUUAGUUGCCAUCAUUCAGUUGGGCACUCUAGCGAGACUGCCGGUAAUAAACCGGAGGAAGGUGGGGAUGACGUCAAAUCAUCAUGCCCCUUAUGACCUGGGCUACACACGUGCUACAAUGGUUGGUACAACGAGUUGCGAGUCGGUGACGGCAAGCUAAUCUCUUAAAGCCAAUCUCAGUUCGGAUUGUAGGCUGCAACUCGCCUACAUGAAGUCGGAAUCGCUAGUAAUCGCGGAUCAGCACGCCGCGGUGAAUACGUUCCCGGGCCUUGUACACACCGCCCGUCACACCACGAGAGUUUGUAACACCCGAAGUCGGUGAGGUAACCUUUUGGAGCCAGCCGCCUAAGGUGAAAAGAUGU